AGCAGCCGCGGUAAUUCCAGCUCCAAUAGCGUAUAUUAAAGUUGUUGCAAGUUAAAAAGCUCGUAGUUGAAUUUCGGGAUUGACGUGAUGGUCAUGCCUUAAGGGGUAUGAACUGUUACAGUUGAUUUCUCACCUUCUGGAGAAACUUGAUGUCCUUUAUUGGGUGUCUUGCGGAUCCAGGACCUUUACCUUGAAAAAAUUAGAGUUUAAAGCAGGCAUUUUUGCUCGAAUACAUUAGCAUGGAAUAAUAGAAUAGGACGGCAUGGUUCUAUUUUGUUGGUUUCUAGGAUCACCGUAAUGAUUAAUAGGGAUAGUUGGGGGCAUUAGUAUUCAAUUGUCAGAGGUGAAAUUCUUGGAUUUAUUGAAGACUAACUACUGCGAAAGCAUUUGCCAAGGAUGUUUUCAUUAAUCAAGAACGAAAGUUAGGGGAAUCGAAGACGAUCAGAUACCGUCGUAGUCUUAACCAUAAACUAUAGCCGACUAGGAAUCAGACGAUGUAAUUUUUAAUGUACNCGUUUGG
This 520-nucleotide ribosomal RNA is filed under the name uncultured Entrophospora. RNAcentral's name for it is "SSU rRNA". It matches the Rfam family "Eukaryotic small subunit ribosomal RNA", at positions 569 to 1083 of the family's 1831-position model. The record is from RNAcentral. Lineage: Eukaryota; Fungi; Glomeromycota; Glomeromycetes; Entrophosporales; Entrophosporaceae.